Molecule: long non-coding RNA, 850 nt
Organism: Cydia strobilella
Lineage: Eukaryota; Metazoa; Arthropoda; Insecta; Lepidoptera; Tortricidae
Exons: 3
Source: RefSeq, a predicted model, not a curated record
AGCGCUACCGCGGCAUCACCGACCCGCUGUCGCGCGCCGACCGCGCCAAAAAGGCUAAACUACUCGCCGUGCUCAUUUGGCCGGCGGCGGCGGCGGUGGCACUACCGCAGGCGUUUGUGAAGUCGGAUAGCGUGUCGACCAAUGAAAUGGAUAAGGCGUGCACUGUUAAUACUAAUCCUAGCUACGUGUUCUUCAGCGUGACCUUCUCAUUUUACGUGCCAACGUGCAUCAUGCUAGUCCAGUAUGGUCUGAUCCUUCGCGCCUUGGCGUUACGCCCGCCAAUCCGCGCACACAGGGGCCAGUGUCCAAUUGUGGAGAUGGAUCAGAUAAAGUGCCCGGAAUCCUCGCAACAAACAGACGAGUAAGUUGUAUUAUUUUGUACCUUAUUUUUUGCAAUAAGGUUUACGUAUUCUCAAUCUUUUUCAGUCCGGGUGCAAUUGUAAGUUUAAAGGGAAAGAGAACGCAGGGCACUGGCGGUGAGGAGUAACAUGUUGGCCCGCAGGUUUGCUCGUUGCUCGGAUCAAGUCAAGAUCACGCUAUUUAAAGCGUUCUGUCAGAGCUUCUACAUGAGCAGCCUGUGGUUCAAUUGCACUCAGAAGGCUCUCAGUGCCCUGAGGGUACAAUAUAAUAACGGCUUUCGGGCGUUGUUGAAGCUGCCCCGCGCUUCUGUAGUGCUUCUAAAAUGUUUGCGGAGGCACGCACAGACGGGUUUCACGCCAUCGUGCGCAAAAUAACUGCCUCGCUAGUCAGUAGGAUGCGGAGCAGCUCUAACGGCAUCCUAAAAGUUUUUGUAGAAACGCCUGAUUCGCCCAUGCACAAACACAUUCAUAACUUAAUGAUCAUGGGUAGU